AAAUUAGGGUCGAUGCGCGGCAACAUCUUCACUCUGAUUUUUUAUGUUCUUAGGACAUUUAAGAGUGUAAGGUAAUAACCCAAUAACCCUUCCAUCACAUAAGGUUUUCUUGGUCAUUUGGGUCCUUUGUCUCGCGACAAAAAACCGGGAAAUGGCGGAUGCUCGCGCCUGAUAUCGAUCUUAUUUU
This 187-nucleotide non-coding RNA is filed under the name Nasonia giraulti. The record is from RNAcentral. Lineage: Eukaryota; Metazoa; Arthropoda; Insecta; Hymenoptera; Pteromalidae.